RNAcentral lists this long non-coding RNA (217 nucleotides) under Setaria italica (foxtail millet). RNAcentral's name for it is "long non-coding RNA (SITA_LNC002785)". The record is from RNAcentral. Lineage: Eukaryota; Viridiplantae; Streptophyta; Magnoliopsida; Poales; Poaceae.
GGGUGCCGAAAUGCACCCGUUUUGCAUCAUUUUUCGUGCCGGAACCGAAUGCCCAAAAACACUCCCAAACAUGUUCUAGGGUCUAAUUAGGAAGAUUGCAUGCGUUCGUUGCGAAAAAAUCCACCCGAGUUUCGCGACCCAGCAAUAGUGCAUUCGGGUGCCGAAAUGCACCCGUUUUGCAUCGUUUUUCGUGCCGGAACCGAAUGCCCAAAAACAC